This 683-nucleotide ribosomal RNA is filed under the name Levilactobacillus brevis. Its description in RNAcentral is "bacterial SSU rRNA". It matches the Rfam family "Bacterial small subunit ribosomal RNA", at positions 90 to 759 of the family's 1533-position model. Lineage: Bacteria; Bacillati; Bacillota; Bacilli; Lactobacillales; Lactobacillaceae. The record is from RNAcentral.
AGCGAGUGGCGAACUGGUGAGUAACACGUGGGGAAUCUGCCCAGAAGCAGGGGAUAACACUUGGAAACAGGUGCUAAUACCGUAUAACAACAAAAUCCGCAUGGAUUUUGUUUGAAAGGUGGCUUCGGCUAUCACUUCUGGAUGAUCCCGCGGCGUAUUAGUUAGUUGGUGAGGUAAAGGCCCACCAAGACGAUGAUACGUAGCCGACCUGAGAGGGUAAUCGGCCACAUUGGGACUGAGACACGGCCCAAACUCCUACGGGAGGCAGCAGUAGGGAAUCUUCCACAAUGGACGAAAGUCUGAUGGAGCAAUGCCGCGUGAGUGAAGAAGGGUUUCGGCUCGUAAAACUCUGUUGUUAAAGAAGAACACCUUUGAGAGUAACUGUUCAAGGGUUGACGGUAUUUAACCAGAAAGCCACGGCUAACUACGUGCCAGCAGCCGCGGUAAUACGUAGGUGGCAAGCGUUGUCCGGAUUUAUUGGGCGUAAAGCGAGCGCAGGCGGUUUUUUAAGUCUGAUGUGAAAGCCUUCGGCUUAACCGGAGAAGUGCAUCGGAAACUGGGAGACUUGAGUGCAGAAGAGGACAGUGGAACUCCAUGUGUAGCGGUGGAAUGCGUAGAUAUAUGGAAGAACACCAGUGGCGAAGGCGGCUGUCUAGUCUGUAACUGACGCUGAGGCUCGAAAG